This 276-nucleotide ribosomal RNA is filed under the name uncultured Desulfovibrio sp. RNAcentral's name for it is "partial 16S ribosomal RNA". It matches the Rfam family "Bacterial small subunit ribosomal RNA", at positions 1106 to 1382 of the family's 1533-position model. Lineage: Bacteria; Pseudomonadati; Thermodesulfobacteriota; Desulfovibrionia; Desulfovibrionales; Desulfovibrionaceae. The record is from RNAcentral.
UAUUGCCAGUUGCUACCAGGUAAUGCUGGGCACUCUGGUGAGACUGCCCGGUUAACGGGGAGGAAGGUGGGGACGACGUCAAGUCAUCAUGGCCCUUACGCCUAGGGCUACACACGUACUACAAUGGCGCAUACAAAGGGCAGCGAUACCGCGAGGUGGAGCCAAUCCCAAAAAGUGCGUCCCAGUCCGGAUUGCAGUCUGCAACUCGACUGCAUGAAGUUGGAAUCGCUAGUAAUUCGAGAUCAGCAUGCUCGGGUGAAUGCGUUCCCGGGCCUU